Molecule: non-coding RNA, 45 nt
Filed under: Trichobilharzia regenti
Lineage: Eukaryota; Metazoa; Platyhelminthes; Trematoda; Strigeidida; Schistosomatidae
Source: RNAcentral
AUCCAGCUGGUGAGUCCCAAAUAGUACGAAAUGCGCAUUCUGGAU